UGCGCGAGUCGCAGGGUAGUACGAAACCCGAAGGCGCAACGAAAGUGAACCUUUUCUUACGAAUCGGUAGGUGGGAUCCCGGACCGAAUCCCGCUCGCGGGAAGAAUGGGCGCACCACCGGCCUGUCUCGGCCGCGACGUCGGCGAGGCGGAGCAAGAGCGUACGCGUUGGGACCCGAAAGAUGGUGAACUAUGCCUGAGCAGGAUGAAGCCAGAAGAAAUUCUGGUGGAGGUCCGCAGCGAUUCUGACGUGCAAAUCGAUCGUCAAACUUGGGUAUAGGGGCGAAAGACUAAUCGAACCAUCUAGUAGCUGGUUCCCGUCGAAGUUUCCCUCAGGAUAGCUGGCGCUCAUUGGAUAAGCAGUUUUAUCCGGUAAAGCGAAUGAUUAGAGGCCUUGGGGACGUACAGACCUCAACCUAUUCUCAAACUUUAAAUGGGUAAGACGUCCGUCUCGCUUGAUUGGAGUCGGGCUGUUCGAAUGCGAGUGCCAAGUGGGCCAUUUUUGGUAAGCAGAA
This 514-nucleotide ribosomal RNA is filed under the name Macrobdella decora (North American leech). RNAcentral describes it as "partial 28S ribosomal RNA". It matches the Rfam family "Eukaryotic large subunit ribosomal RNA", at positions 683 to 1149 of the family's 3401-position model. The record is from RNAcentral. Lineage: Eukaryota; Metazoa; Annelida; Clitellata; Hirudinida; Hirudinidae.